RNAcentral lists this ribosomal RNA (301 nucleotides) under uncultured bacterium. RNAcentral describes it as "partial 16S ribosomal RNA". It matches the Rfam family "Bacterial small subunit ribosomal RNA", at positions 509 to 807 of the family's 1533-position model. The record is from RNAcentral.
CAGUAGCCGCGGGAAAACGAAGGGGGCUAGCGUUGCUCGGAAUGACUGGGCGUAAAGGGCGCGUAGGCGGUGCGGAUAGUCAGAUGUGAAAUUCCUGGGCUUAACCUGGGGGCUGCAUUUGAUACGUCCGCGCUUGAGUGUGGAAGAGGGUCGUGGAAUUCCCGGUGUAGAGGCGAAAUUCGUAGAUAUUGGGAAGAACACCGGUGGCGAAGGCGGCGACCUGGUCCAUAACUGACGCUGAGGCGCGAAAGCGUGGGGAGCAAACAGGAUUAGAGACCCCUGUAGUCCCUGUCUCUUAUAC